UGGCUCAGAUUGAACGCUGGCGGCAGGCCUAACACAUGCAAGUCGAGCGGUAACAUUUCUAGCUUGCUAGAAGAUGACGAGCGGCGGACGGGUGAGUAAUGCUUGGGAACGUGCCGUAAGGUGGGGGACAACCAUUGGAAACGAUGGCUAAUACCGCAUAAUGUCUACGGACCAAAGGGGGCUUCGGCUCUCGCCUUAUGAUCGGCCCAAGUGGGAUUAGCUAGUUGGUAAGGUAAUGGCUUACCAAGGCGACGAUCCCUAGCUGGUUUGAGAGGAUGAUCAGCCACACUGGAACUGAGACACGGUCCAGACUCCUACGGGAGGCAGCAGUGGGGAAUAUUGCACAAUGGGCGCAAGCCUGAUGCAGCCAUGCCGCGUGUGUGAAGAAGGCCUUAGGGUUGUA
This 403-nucleotide ribosomal RNA is filed under the name Pseudoalteromonas sp. PA17J(2010). RNAcentral's name for it is "bacterial SSU rRNA". It matches the Rfam family "Bacterial small subunit ribosomal RNA", at positions 20 to 427 of the family's 1533-position model. The record is from RNAcentral. Lineage: Bacteria; Pseudomonadati; Pseudomonadota; Gammaproteobacteria; Alteromonadales; Pseudoalteromonadaceae.